GGAUGUGAGGGCAGCCAGGUCAUGACGUCUCAAAUACUGUUGCUCACCAGGGUUCAUUUGGCUCCUCUGGUUGGCUAAGCAGGUCCCCCACCCCCCUCACUUCUCCAUGUGCAUCUCUCUGAAGAUGCUUGUUUAGUCAAAGAGGACGACGUUUCCCAACUAGAAGCAAAUCUGACUUCCUUUGACCGUCUAUGAGUACCUGUGCUUGCCUGAUAGAUCCUCCAAGCAAGGUCUUCUGGACUACAAGAGACCUUCCAUCCUCUGCCCCCCCCCAAAAAAAAACCAAAACCUUGAAAUUGAAGUGCCAGUGCUUGCAGAAGAU
Molecule: unclassified non-coding RNA, 322 nt
Organism: Erinaceus europaeus (western European hedgehog)
Lineage: Eukaryota; Metazoa; Chordata; Mammalia; Eulipotyphla; Erinaceidae
Gene: 7SK
Rfam family: 7SK RNA
About the family: 7SK was discovered as an abundant small nuclear RNA in the mid-70s but a possible function has only recently been suggested. Two independent studies have found that 7SK RNA binds the CDK9/cyclin T complex (known as elongation factor P-TEFb). P-TEFb activates transcription by phosphorylating the C-terminal domain of RNA polymerase II.
Source: Ensembl